AAGGUAACAGAUCUCAGUGUUCCCCAGUGGAAACCUGUUUAUAGGUAACAGAUCUCAGUGUUCCCCCAGUGGAAACCUGUUUAAAGGUAACAGAUCUCAGUGUUCCCCAGUGGAAACCUGUUUAAAGGUAACAGAUCUCAGUGUUCCCCAGUGGAAACCAGUUUAAAGGUAACAGAUCUCAGUGUUCCCCAGUGGAAACCAGUUUAAAGGUAACAGAUCUCAGUGUUCCCCAGUGGAAACCUGUUUAAAGGUAACAGAUCUCAGUGUUCCCCAGUGGAAACCAGUUUAAAGGUAACAGAUCUCAGUGUUCCCCAGUGGAAACCAGUUUAAAGGUAACAGAUCUCAGUGUUCCCUAGUGGAAACCAGUUUAAAGGUAACAGAUCUCAGUGUUCCCCAGUGGAAACCAGUUUAAAGGUAACAGAUCUCAGUGUUCCCCAGUGGAAACCUAUUUAAAGGUAACAGAUCUCAGUGUUCCCUAGUGGAAACCAGUUUAAAGGUAACAGAUCUCAGUGUUCCCUAGUGGAAACCAGUUUAAAGGUAACAGAUCUCAGUGUUCCCUAGUGGAAACCAGUUUAAAGGUAACAGAUCUCAGUGUUCCCUAGUGGAAACCAGUUUAAAGGUAACAGAUCUCAGUGUUCCCCAGUGGAAACCAGUUUAAAGGUAACAGAUCUCAGUGUUCCCCAGUGGAAACCAGUUUAAAGGUAACAGAUCUCAGUGUUCCCCAGUGGAAACCUGUUUAAAGGUAACAGAUCUCAGUGUUCCCCAGUGGAAACCAGUUUAAAGGUAACAGAUCUCAGUGUUCCCUAGUGGAAACCAGUUUAAAGGUAACAGAUCUCAGUGUUCCCCAGUGGAAACCAGUUUAAUAACAGAUCUCAGUGUUCCCCAGUGGAAACCAGUUUAAAGGUAACAGAUCUCAGUGUUCCCCAGUGGAAACCUGUUUAAUAACAGAUCUCAGUGUUCCCCAGUGGAAACCUGUUUAAAGGUAACAGAUCUCAGUGUUCCCCAGUGGAAACCUGUUUAAAGGUAACAGAUCUCAGUGUUCCCCAGUGGAAACCUGUUUAAAGGUAACAGAUCUCAGUGUUCCCCAGUGGAAACUAGUUUAAUAACAGAUCUCAGUGUUCCCCAGUGGAAACCAGUUUAAAGGUAACAGAUCUCAGUGUUCCCCAGUGGAAACCAGUUUAAAGGUAACAGAUCUCAGUGUUCCCCAGUGGAAACCAGUUUAAAGGUAACAGAUCUCAGUGUUCCCCUAGUGUCUGGUUACCACGUCAUCUCUGACAUGGAUAGAUGUCGAAUACUGACUUGUAUCAUGGGUGACCUGGCUAUGUGUGUGUGUGUGUGUGUGUGUGUGUGUGUGUGUGUGUGUGUGUGUGUGUGUGUGUGUGUGUGUGU
This is a long non-coding RNA of Oncorhynchus keta (chum salmon), 1389 nucleotides long. RefSeq lists it as uncharacterized. The transcript has 7 exons. NCBI's taxonomy places the organism in Eukaryota, Metazoa, Chordata, Actinopteri, Salmoniformes, Salmonidae. The record is from RefSeq and is a predicted model, not a curated record.